AUGCAAUAUGGAGAUUGUUUACCCAGAGUGAGGAUGUUUUGUUGCCUGGGCCUAUAAGGGCCAAAAGAUGUUUGUGUGUCGGACUGUCAUGAGACAGUCACAGGAGAAUCAGAGAUGAGUGCAGCUCUCUGCAGUUGUGUUGGCAGAUUCAGUUUAGAUAUAAUGUAUAUAAUGUAGUAUAAUAAAGUAAUCAAUUAGCCUUCUGAUAAGAUGGAGUCAGAUGCAUCAUUCUCUCUCCCCUCGUCAGAGCCGCCUUUGAUUUGCAAUAGGGGAUGUCUCUCACCCUGUGUCACACAGCCAAAAGUUAAAUGCCUCUGCCUGAGAGAUGGGUGCUUGUCUUUCAUCCCACGUAUGGUGGCUUCAGACAGGAGGGAAACAAAGUCAGAGUGGAUACGGUGCUGGAACUUUGUGACCUUGUCAGCUGAAGGAGGUUCCAGGACCACUCAGGGAUGUGUGUCAGGCCCCAAAGGGGAAGACAGAAAAAGAACGGGGAUGCCUAAGCUUUAUUUCCAUUAAAUGUCAGGUAUAUCCUAAACUGCAGUCCUACUGAACACUGUUUAUUUGGACCCCCAGCUUGUGACUCUUAAUCUUUUAUGGGCAGGCUUCCACUUCUGUGCUUCCCAAAACCUUUAAUGCACCGACAUCAGCUCCCCAGCCUUGAAAUGGCUGAGCAGACCUUUGCCUAUCUCUGUGCCUAAGCCUGAUCAAGAUCUCCAAACAAUACAUUUGCUUAUCCUAGAGGAAUCUAAAAAUUCCUCUAAAAAUGUUGGGAAUGCUGACCAGUUGGGGUAAAAUAUGGUGGAAGCCUUUGCUUUCCUUUAAGUUCUUUUUUUUUAACUGGGGAUUUUCUGGUCCUGUGAGGGGUGUGGUGUUAGGACAUGUGGCCAGAGAGGAGGAGCCCUGGACCUGUUUCCUCUCCUCUCCUCUCCUCUCAAGGAUCCUGCCAGGAUGGGGCUGCAUUUUCCAACCUCCCUUUGGGUAGCUGUACCAUGGCACAGGAGAGAUUUAUUUAGUGGGCGAGAGGGAGGGAGACUAUAGCCAGUUGUGUGCUUGUGGCAUUUUGCUUAAAAGAUGCUGAGUUCCAGUCCCAGCUCUUUCUGCAUUUUAUCUAUGUAAAAUCCAUGCAAUGUAAAAAAAGAUCACUCCCUAGGACCAAAUACUCUUGCAUUAAUUAUGUGUUUCUUGCUUAUGCACCCUCUUUCUCCUCUUUUCCCAGCUCAAUUCACUCCUUGGCUUUUCAGAAGAGCUGUCACCUUCACUCACAGCUGUUAUGGCACACAGGAGAGCACUCCCACACCUGUAGGGGCACUGUGCCACCACUGGGCUGUGCCUCGGUGCUGAGGGAAGGACACACAGGUCUGAGUCCUCCUACAGUGAAAAAAGACAUGUCUGGAUGUGCUGAGUCUCCUUAAGUGCUGUAACACUGCAAAACCCCAUUGGCAAGAGGCUUUGGUAUGUGCACUAUUUUUGAUAACACCCUCUCUGAUAUCCUGGACACAUCCUAAGGAAGGAACAGGAGUUGAUUGCUGCCAGGCCCUGGUGUUUGCUGAGCCUGGCAGAGGAGGAGGAGGAGAGCUGACCACGGUGUGUGGCUGAGUGGGAUGGCCUGGGCAUGAGCAGGUUUCUGUGAUUCCUCAGAUGUGGCACUUGAGUGGCCUUUAAUGCGUUCUGUCUGCAUGAAGCCAGCCCUGGAAUAUGUCUAAAAGGCUCCCCUGCUAGAGUGCAACAGGUUUUGACAACCACCAGUGCUCAGAGGAAGAACAAAUGUGUGAUUUAGACCAUUGUUGAGGACUUUUUCCCUGCAAAGAGAGUUGUCACAUUGCAAAAUUGUAAAGCAUAUAAUGGGAUGCUGACUGCACAAUGUGUUACAGGCAUGCUCUGCCAUUAUUUAACAAUAUAACUAUGGUUAUUUACCAAUCUUAGAUUGCCAAACCACAGAGGAGCAAAACUACGUGAAGAACUUAGCAUGUCUAAAGCAAAAAUUUGCUCUAUCUCAGGCCAUGUUAUUAUAUUUUAAAAUUUUAUUAAGAAAUAAAUUUAUUGAGCAUUGUUUGCCUUAGAGGUGAGUGGCUCUGAAACUCUAUUUCUUGUAUCCACACAACCAUGCUUCAGUAAAUUUUGAUGUUUUAACAAGAGUUUGGGGUCAGUUUCCUUAGGCAAGCUGAAGAAAUUAUUUCUGAUGAUUUAGUUAGUAGUGGUGGUGUGGUUUUCUGUAAUCAUUCACCAGGCAGCUGGAAUGAGGUGGGGAAAUUAAUCUCUGGUGCACCUUUAGAGUAGAUGGAUAAAUAAACCCAAAAGGAAUUAAAAGAAAAGCAUAACUUUAGACUAAUCAUAGAACUACUUUUGUUUUCUGCAUACAACUGAAGUUUACAUGAGGAAGACUGAGAGUGAGAAGCACUGGGAAAGGUAAAAAAAAAAAAAACCAAGUCCAAUGGAUAGUUAAUCUGGAAUUAACAACAUGGCACUGUGCAAGCACAGAACAGAGGGAGCUGCUUCAUCCCAUAGCCUUUGCAGUAAGAAAAAAAAUUAAAAAGCAAUUUUAAAAUGCAGCUUUUGUGGGGUUUUUUUCAUUUUCUUAUUUUGCUCCCUUCCUCUGAAUGUCCCCUAUUUGUAAUGCUUGCUCCUGCCUUUCUGACAAGCCCCAAAUUCCUCAGCUCCAGGAGCUGUGGGCACAUGAGAGCUGGCAGAUCAGGCCUUGGCUUCCCUUCCCUUGGAACAUGCUCCCUUCUCAGAUGGGGAGCUGCUCCAGAACAGAAAUAACUAAUGACAGUGGGGCUGCUUGAAAGCCACAUGGAGGGAGGAAAGAGAUGUUAUUCACUUCAGCAGUGCAAAUAAAGUGAGAGCUUUCUUUCUACAGGCGUGUGUGGGAAGGGCAUCAACAGAGCAAUUACAUGGUGGGUGGGAAAGGGGAUUUUGUCACUUUGGCAGUGCUGGCAGACAGAAAUAAACUGCUUCUAGGGGAAUAGCAGGGUAAGAACUUGCACAUCAAGAGCAUAAGCAGAAUUAAAAUGGGCCCUUAAGGGGAUUUAUUGAGGGCUGGUUUCUUUUUUUUUUUUUUUUAAGUGCCUAAGGCCCCUCCUAUUUCAUUGUGUGCAAGCCAAGAAUCAGGAGCAGGGUGAAAAAGUGAGCAAGUUGUAUCAAAACUAGUAAGAAACUCUUCUGACUGCAAGAAUUUGACUGCAACCCUUAUGCAGCUGUUACAGAAGGUGCUGGAAUGGCACAUUCAGAGUGCAGGGCUGGUGACAGGAGUAGUGGUCAACAAAGCAGAGUGUAAGAAACCCUCUUCCUUUUUCAAAUCAAAAAUGGAGUCCCUAGAAUAGAAUAGAAUAGAAUAGAAUAGAAUAGAAUAGAAUAGAAUAGAAUAGAAUAGAAUAGAAUAGAAUAGAAUAGAAUAGAAUAGAAUGUGCUGAGUUGGGAGGACACUCCAAGAACUGCACUAUGUGCUGGAGCUGCUUGUGGUUUUUUCCCUGGUUUCCCUGGAAUUCCAUAUUAUUCAUAUGAAGGCACAAGGCAAAGCCUGCUCCAGGUUGACUGGAAGAGGGAAAGGAAGCAAUGCUGUUCUGCACCCACCACUGCAAGGUGUUGCUGGGCUUUUCUGGGAAAUAAUAAAAAAAAAAUCUAACACAGAUUACAAUAACAUUGAACCAUUGAUAACACAUUCAGGUGAUGGAGAUGGUUUUGCUCCUGUCUCAUGUUUUUUUCUUGCUAAAAGAAAACCUGUAGUGAUGUCCACCAGUGCAGAUGAACAGCCAGUUGUAACAUGAUAGUGAUGAGUAGGAACUAGCAGAUUGCUGCAAAAGCAAGAUAAGAAAUAUGGUGUGUGGAACAAAGAGGGGUGCCCCCUCACAUGUAAAACCCCCACUGCAAUUUCAUGGAGCCCAGAUGCCAACAACCAGUUGUGAGUCACUCGUUGCUUAGUGGAGCAGCCCAUCAGACCCAUUUGGUGCAGCAGUGCCCCUAGCAGCAGGCUGGGCUGCCAUGCAGAGCUCUGCAGCUGAGACAGAACAAACCUGCCUUCAGCUAGACAGCCUGGAGAUGUUUUAGGUGGCAGGUGAUUGGUGAUGUCACAUAAAAUUGACAGCUCUUCAGACAAAAGGAAGGAGCUUGACUUAAUGAGUGCUAUGGGUGGGUGUAUAAGCAAAGACUUUUCUAAGAAUUAUCAUUACCUAGGAAAGGCAAUUUUCAGCUGAAUUGACAUUGCAGUAAUUAAGGGCCAACGUAGAGAAUCUUGGUCAUUAUAACUAUUUAAAUUUCCAAAUUGCUUAGUUUAGAAUUGCUUAUGCUUGAAGUGCUACUGACAGCCCCAUCACUUUCUAUUCUCAGCCAGCUUGAUUGGCAAAUUGAUGAGGUCUGUACCUCACAGCCACUGUUCCACCUUGGUGCCAAAAGUCACUACCUGGAGCAGAGCAGCAAGUAGCAACUGUGGUCACAUCAAACCACAGGGAAUCCAAGUUUUAAGUUCACUCCUUGAAAGUGGAAAUGCACAUUAAAGGGGUCACUGGGAAGCAGAUUCUUGAAAACCGUGGUGAAGGAUGUCUUCAUAUUUCAGUUAUUUAAAUUUACCUUGCCUGUGAAUUAUCAGCCUAGUUGGAAUCCACUGCUGGACUGCUACAGAACCUAUUUUUUUUUUUUUUCUGACUUUUUUCCUCUGUCUUGUCAGCCUCAGAUGGACAAUGCCUUUGAAAUGGCAAAUGUUAUUCUGUGGUCACAGGAACUUUUUUCAGAGAUGGAUAAAAGAAACAUCUGGACCGACUGAGGGGGUUUGCAUUAUGUCUUGCAGCAACCCUCCUAAUUCUAAAAGUGAAUCAUUAUAUGUUGUACCUGCCAGUUGCUUUAAUCCUCUUGUCAUAGCAAAGUCAGAGAGACCGGGAGACACAAACCAUAUUUUUAUUUUAACAAUUUAGAAGACUUUGUGAAUUAUUCUGCAGGAAUGGAGGCACUGGUCUCCUUUAGCUUUGGCAUGUUGGCCUCCUUUUUUCCCCCUGUAAAAAUAUAUUAUUGUGCACUUAUUGUGCACUUUGUUCUACCAACUUAAAGAGAGAGAAAUGGUUUUUUUAGUCCCUCUUCCUCUGUACUGUCACUUUUGAUUCACAGUUGCUAAGCGUUGCAAAAGCUCACCAGAGGGACACUCUCAUAGUGUGAUUUGCAAACUUUGAAAUAACACCCACCAGCAGAAGCACCAUAUGCUACAAAGUUGCACAGUAAACUGACAGCAGUAUUUCAUUUAUAAUUUGAAUUUCCAAAAAUGUCAGCAUUUUUCACAUCAACAAAUGCCUCUCAGCUUGCAGUGCAUGACUCUUUCCUCUGAGUGGACAUUAAAUUGUGCUAAUUCUGCUUGAAUUUCUGUAGGCUUUAUUAAUGACAGACACAUUAAAAUCAAUUCGCUUUUAUUAUGUUGACUUGUUGUAUUGAGACAAAAUAAAUCUGCAAAUUUUCUGAA
This is a long non-coding RNA of Passer domesticus (house sparrow), 5440 nucleotides long. RefSeq lists it as uncharacterized. The transcript has 2 exons. The record is from RefSeq and is a predicted model, not a curated record. NCBI's taxonomy places the organism in Eukaryota, Metazoa, Chordata, Aves, Passeriformes, Passeridae.